Long non-coding RNA from Tupaia belangeri chinensis (Chinese tree shrew), 437 nucleotides. RefSeq lists it as uncharacterized. The transcript is spliced from 3 exons. Lineage: Eukaryota; Metazoa; Chordata; Mammalia; Scandentia; Tupaiidae. The record is from RefSeq and is a predicted model, not a curated record.
GGUGUUAUGAGUAGAAGAGGAGACCCCACACCUCGGUGAGAAUCACAUGACAAGGCAUUUGGAAUGUACCAUGGCUGGACGGAAGAGAGUCCUCUCCUUUGUGGCGUUACAGUCAUCCUGGUGGUCUUCCUCGAAAUUACUUUUGAGAUUUCACAGAGGUGAAGAGGCUUUCCCAGACCUUCGGACCGCCUACGCUGCACACCCUCCCAGCCUCUGUGGAAGCACCUUUCACGUCACCUCUCGGCCCUCCGACAUCUGGACCCGAGCCACGCUGAUGUCUGGUUUGCUGCGUGUCUACCCCACCACACACACACAUCACUCUGUAGGCACACAGCCACUGUUGUUCAGUAGUGCAGAAUCAGAGCCUGGGACAGAGGAGGGGUCAUUAACUAUUCUAAACACACGUAUAAAUUGCUCCAGCGAAGAGUCUGGAAAAU